Molecule: long non-coding RNA, 1095 nt
Organism: Humulus lupulus (European hop)
Lineage: Eukaryota; Viridiplantae; Streptophyta; Magnoliopsida; Rosales; Cannabaceae
Exons: 3
Source: RefSeq, a predicted model, not a curated record
ACGACGCCGAUGCGAGCGCUGAUACCCACGAACUACACCUCUACGACGCCAAUGCUGGUACACUAUCAUAUCUCCUCAGCGCACGGUGGAGGUGAGGUCUGACGCUUAUUCCCUUGUCGUCUUUCUGGCCUCCCUCCCCCGUUCCUCAACCUCACCAUUCACCUCUCAAUAUUGAGGGAUUGAAUUGAUUUUACGGUGUUUGGAGCAAAAAAGAACGUGAUAAUUGAUGUUGAGCUUUGUGAAUCAUUCUCUAUAGUUAACAUAAUUUUUUGUUGCUUAUUGGUGCAGAAUAUGAAGGUAUGGGUUCUCAAACUAUUAGUAAAUGUAGUAUAUUUUUGUGUAAUUUUUCCUACUUAUUUUUCUUUAAUACAUUUGUUAGAUCUUGAUUGUUCUCUCUUUCCAAUAAUAGGAUUUAAUGGAAAUGCAUAGAGCAAAUAAGUUUCGGGAUGGGAACUUUAAUUACUUAUAUUACAUUAUAUAUAUGUUAUUUAUGUUUUUUGAAGCUAUUCUUGCAUUUAUGUAGUGGCUAAAUAGCUCAUUUCAAAUGACAAUUCACAUCAGAAAGUAUAGAGUAGAGAAAUGAAUAAAUGGAAGUCUUUUAUGUUUCAUAUUCAUACCAUGACUUCAACUCAAUCACAAUUACAUAGUGAUAUAUGAGUCAUUUUAUUUUUCUAUUUUGUUUAUUUGCGCAUACAUACAUAUACUGAGAUGUUGUUUCGUAAAAGCUGAUGUACUAAAUGGAAAAUGGAGUUGUUUAUUCAUGUAUGAUAUGAAUCUUGACAUAGACUUAAUUUCUUAUACUGAUUCAGGGUUGAUGGCUUGCUAGACAAAGAAAGUUGUGUUAGGGAACUACUUAUGGGAAAAGAUGACGAGACAAAAAAAGGGUAAUUUUUCUUACUUCAAAAAAUCCAAUGUAGACUUUGGGGUCAUGAACUCAUGGUUCACUAAGCCAUUUUUUAUUUGCUUGAUAGGUUAUUGGUUAAUAUGUGAUAAUUAUAUACUGAAAUCUCUGCUUUUUGUUUGUAAAAAUGCAAAAAAUCAAUCACAUUUGUUUGUAAAAUUGCAAAAUAUUUUCUUUUGCUUUGUGUCACUAUA